UAAACUACAAGCCUUCACUUUUCUUAUUUCAUCUACUUAGGCUCAGAGUUUUUUGGCUUUCAGUUUGAAAUCUUACAAAGUAUGAUGAUCUCUUUAAAUUUCUCUCAAGUCUUUUAUGUACAUUGAAAGGCAAAAAAAAGGUUUCCCAACUCCUAGGCAGCCUACUCAUACAAGCUGCAUGUUAGUAAAUAUUAUCUCAUGCAUUGUAGGCCAUCUACCUGAUGCUUGGUAGUAAUGCUAAACCACUUCAAGGCCUCAAUUUCAGAACCAGCUACUUGAUCUAACCCCCUUGGGUUUACUUAAAUCUCCACAGAAAUCAAAAGCUUAUCUUGCAUCAUUGGAUAGGUUAGAUUUGAAUUUGCUGUCUCUGGACAAGACCCAGAUAGUCCCCAGGUGGCAAAGUCAUUUGUCUAAACAUGAGGAGCACCAUUUCGACACAUCUGUCCUACAGAUUCACCAAGGGAGACUGGUGAUCAUUUUCAAAGGAGAUUUAGCACAUCUUAUCCCUGUUAUAAUAUGAUCUCACAAUUUAGACUUGUGUAGGUAUACAUACAUCAAUCAUCCUUCAAAAGUUAGGUUCUAGCUAGCUAAUCAGGGGGGGGUGGUGUACACAAGAAUCUAACAAUUGAGAGUUUGCAUAUCUGGAAAAAAGAGAUGUAUGCUAGAAUCUUGAUCAGGAAAAUACAAGAUGCUCAAUAUAAAAUGCUCAGGGUUUUUCAUGCACACAACAAACCCAUGGAUAAGUUGCAGAGUUUUGUGUUUCCAGAAUGGAGAGAAUGAAAAGGAGCUGAUAAAUAAUGUGCUGUUUAUAUUUGUAGAGUGGAGAAUAUUUAUUACCAUAUAUGAGGAUGGAUCUUGAUACAAUGUUAAGGUCCUCCAUCACAUUAAAGAUCAAAAUUGGAGGCAAAGAAAUUGUGCCUCCAAGUAUAGAAGAAAGGCCAUGCAUAUUGAUUCUUUUCGGAUUCUAUUAUUUUUUAUUUUUUAUUUUUGAUAUAUUAUUUCUAAUGAUUGACAUUGUAAUCAUAUAGAUUUUGCUAUAGAAAUGCAAGUCUAAAAACCGGAGAAAUAAUUUACCUUCACAAAAUAUUUAUCAUAUUUUAAAAUGAUAAAUAAUUCAAUUUGAUAGUUCUCAACCUUAUAAUAAUGUUGAACAUAAUGUUGCUAGAAAUUAUAGUAUAUAACUCUUUGGAUUGUACAAGGAUUAUGUCUAUUUAGGUUUUUAUGAUGAAUUUUUUGUAGGAUUAUAGAUGUACUUUAAGGAGAUUUUAGUGAUGUGAUAUAUAAAAAAUUCCAAAAGGUUAUAAUAGAAAUUAAAAAUAAUAAUUUAAAUAUAUUAAUUUAACCAAAACUAUUAUUCUAUAUAGAGCUUAAUGAUAAAAAUAUUAGAUUUAAGGAUAGUUGAAAUUAAAGAUAUAUAUCGAUUCGUUACAGCGUGACAUAACAGUCCGCGUUAUCGAUUCGAUGGGACAGCAGCGGCUCAAAAUAUCUUACCAGGUUCGGUGCGCCGUUACGCUCGGUCGUCGCGCCGUUAACGUGUCUUCGUCAUGUUCCGUAUCCUCUGGUAUAACGAAAACCUGCGGCUCGGUGAACCCAGAGAGAUCCAUAAAUGUCGAGCACUUCCUCCUCCCCCAAGCCCGACUCCGUUCAUCGAAAUCCCGUGAUCGAUCCCUAGAUUCGCCUCGUGUUGCUUCUGCUACUCUCCGAGAUCUGCCUUCUCGCGGAUCAGGUUGAGAUUUGGCUUCGUUCGAGUCAGUCGAAGCUCGGCGAAGCUGCGUGGUUUCGGAUCCUUCGGGAAGUGGUUUUGCGGACAAAGAUUGGACUUUCGUGGGAGUUGGGAGCUUCCGAGGUUGCAGCCGUCGGCGAUUUUGAGAUUUGAACUCGUCAUCAAGGAACGAUGCGAGUUUGUUUUCUGGAGCUAUGUUUUCCUUCCAAAACUCCUGAUUUCGAGGUUCGGCGUCCGAGGUUGAAAUUUUCCGUUGGUCACCGUUCCUGAGAAGGGUUUCCUUUUAUCCUGCUAAUGUUGAGAAAAAAAGGUUCUUUUUGGGCGUUGAAAUCGAUCACAAUUAUGGGAUUCUUAUCUUUUGUU
This is an RNA transcript of Musa acuminata AAA Group (dessert banana), 2086 nucleotides long. It is a transcript of the gene named F-box protein At4g18380-like, with no coding region annotated. Lineage: Eukaryota; Viridiplantae; Streptophyta; Magnoliopsida; Zingiberales; Musaceae. The record is from RefSeq and is a predicted model, not a curated record. The transcript is spliced from 2 exons.